Molecule: long non-coding RNA, 2922 nt
Filed under: Xyrichtys novacula (pearly razorfish)
Lineage: Eukaryota; Metazoa; Chordata; Actinopteri; Labriformes; Labridae
Source: RNAcentral
CAUCAGACCUGAACCAUCAGACCUGAGACCCUGAACCAUCAGACCUGAGACCCUGAACCAUCAGACCUGAGACCCUGAACCAUCAGAGCUGAGACCCUGAACCAUCAGAGCUGAGACCCUGAACCAUCAGACCUGAGACCCUGAACCAUCAGACCUGAGACCCUGAACCAUCAGAGCUGAGACCCUGAACCAUUAGACCUGAACCAUCAGACCUGAGACCCUGAACCAUCAGACCUGAGACCCUGAACCAUCAGAGCUGAGACCCUGAACCAUCAGACCUGAACCAUCAGACCUGAGACCCUGAACCAUCAGACCUGAACCAUCAGACCUGAGACCCUGAACCAUCAGACCUGAGACCCUGAACCAUCAGGUUUACAGUGAACAGGUUCAGAGCUGUGAGUUUGUGUUUCCUCUUUAAAUACGGUGUCCCUCAGGGGUCAUGUUCGGGUCCUUUUGAGUUUUUAUUUAAAUUCAUAAUUUAAUCCAAAUAUUUCAGCUGCAGAGACUCAGUGUGACGCCCCGCCUAAACGCCGCCCUGAGAGGUCAAACUCUGACCCACUGAAGUGAGAAAAUACCUUCAGAAGUUUAACGAGGGAUUUACUAACGAGCUCAUUAACUGAACACACAACACCAUCAACACUCAUGAGUCUGAGAGUCACUCAGAGAUCUCAGCUGGGCAGGUAAAGGGGAGACACACACACACACACAAACACACUCAGACACACACACACACACACACACACACACACACACACACACACACACACACACACACACACACAGCUGUAACAAACUCACAAAAACCAGUGAAAACACGACGAUCGGUGACACUCGUCAUGAAAUUAGAAAUAUUAUUUUACAAUGAGGUGUGUGUGUGUGUGUGUGUCUGAGUGUGUGUCUGAGUGUGUGUGUUCUUACCUCUGGUCACAGCGGUGUGUUGUUGUCGUCCAGCAGAAACUCAGAAAGUGUCUGCAGCUGUUUUUAUACCACUACUCUGCUCUGUGUGUGUGUCUGUGUGUGUGUGUGUGUGUGUGUGAUUAAUUAACAUGACAACAAAACAAUCAUUAUCUUCUACCCCAAAUGUGUGUGUGUGUGUGUGUGUGUGUGUGUGUGUGUGUGUGUGUUAUUACCUGUGUCACAUGUUCAGUGUGUGUGUGAAAGGACGGUAUAGAAAUAAGAGUGUUUGUGUAUUUGUGUGUGUGAAUUUAUACAGUUUUAUAGUUUACCUAAUUACACCGUUUAUAUAUAAAUAUAAGAACACACAAACACACACAAACACACACACACACACACACACACACACACACACACACACACACACAGGUCUAUCUCAUGUUGUCGUCAUGAUUUAACUUCAAAGUUUCUGUAUUUUAAACCCCUGUGUGACCUCAGCCCCCCCCCAGUGUGUGUGUGUGUGUGUGUGUGUGUGUGUGUGUGUGUGUGUGUGUGUGUGUGUAGUUAAUCCGGUGUUUGUGCAGCAGCAGGUAGAUUUCUGUUUGUGUUGUCUGCUCUUUGUUUACUGUCAUCACCACGCUUUUAUUCUGAAAUGUUCAGUAAACACAACAGGAAGUUCACCUGCGUCACACUCUGUGGGAACCCUCAGGUGAACACAUGCACACACACACACACACACACACACACACACUUUCAUAUUGAUGUUAAACUCUCUCUCUGGUGGUUUGUUAAAGGGACAGUCAGUGAUUUUCAGGUUCUCACUCUGACUCGGUUCUCUGGUUUUAGUUUUUUCUGAUGAUCAGAAUCAGACGGUUGAGCUGACCGGCCUGAAGAGGAUGAUGGUCUCAGUUCUGGUUCUCUCGUUGGUCUCCACAGGAGGUCCUGGUCUCCACAGGAGGUCCUGGUCUCCUGUGGGUAAUAUUCUCACUCAGGUCGUUUACAGUCUCAGUUUAAUCAGAAUAAACUCAUAAUCUGUCUUUUUCUCUGAAUCAGACUUCUCUCCUCGUCCUCGUUUACAGCUGAGAAACCUGAAUUAUUGACGUGAACAUGUCCUCCUCCCCAACACUAGGGGGCGAUAUGGGUCUUUCAGCGGCGCUGUUUCCGACCUUUUUUAAGGAUUUCUCCGUUCCUCGUUUUGGGACCGUCCGUAUACGUUCACAUGUCCGUUUCUGUCAGGAGGAAAGUUGUUUCUGAGUCGUAGGUUCUUUGAAUGAUAGCGACACUUCCUCUCUGGUGUUUUUGUUACGGGGGCGUGGCUCAUUGUCCGAUCAUACUCCGACUACGCUGGUUACAUGGGAGAGAAAAUCGGAUUAUCUGGGAGUUCUUAAACACUGAUUAUAGUCGGACUGAGGUGUUUACAUGACCUUCAGAUGUCCGGUCUUAAUCGGAAUAAGACGAUAAUUCGGUUUUCUUGGGUGUCAUGGAAACGGACUGACUGUCAAUAAGAACUUCAUAAAACCACUCUGUAAAAAAACACAGACUGUCCCUUUAAGAGUGAAAUAAAUCAACCUGAGGCUCUCUUCUCUUCAGUAACAUGAAACCGUUUUUAUUUCUGAGGGUGUCGCCCCCUGUGGGCAGAGGAGAGAACUGCAGCUGUACAGGUUUAAUAUGGAGGAGGAGGAGGAACAGUUUACACUGAAGACAAACACACACACACACACACACAUACACACACACACACACACACACAUACACACACACACACACACACACUAACACACACACACACUAACACACACACACACACACACAUGAACAUCUGGAACUUGUCACAAAGGUUCACAUGGGCUCUGAGUCAGGUUCAGGUCUGCAGGUUCUGGUCUGCAGGUUCAGGUCUGCAGGUUCUGGUCUGCAGGUUCCUCAUGGAGCAGGUCUUGAUGGUUCUGACUGAUCCAGGAUCUGAAGGUCAUGGGAGUCAAACCAGCCGGUCAGAUGAUCUUGGACCCUGGUGGACCCUGGUGGACCCUG